GCUACACAUGCAGUCGAGCGGCAGCACGGGGAGCUUGCUCCCUGGUGGCGAGCGGCGGACGGGUGAGUAAUGCAUAGGAAUCUGCCCGGUAGUGGGGGAUAACCUGGGGAAACCCAGGCUAAUACCGCAUACGUCCUACGGGAGAAAGCAGGGGCUCUUCGGACCUUGCGCUAUCGGAUGAGCCUAUGUCGGAUUAGCUGGUUGGUGAGGUAAUGGCUCACCAAGGCGACGAUCCGUAGCUGGUCUGAGAGGAUGAUCAGCCACACUGGGACUGAGACACGGCCCAGACUCCUACGGGAGGCAGCAGUGGGGAAUAUUGGACAAUGGGCGCAAGCCUGAUCCAGCCAUGCCGCGUGUGUGAAGAAGGCCCUCGGGUUGUAAAGCACUUUCAGCGAGGAAGAAGGCUUGGCGGCUAAUACCCGUCAAGAAGGACAUCACUCGCAGAAGAAGCACCGGCUAACUCCGUGCCAGCAGCCGCGGUAAUACGGAGGGUGCGAGCGUUAAUCGGAAUUACUGGGCGUAAAGCGCGCGUAGGUGGUUUGGCACGCCGGUUGUGAAAGCCCCGGGCUCAACCUGGGAACGGCAUCCGGAACGGCCAGACUAGAGUGCAGGAGAGGAAGGUAGAAUUCCCGGUGUAGCGGUGAAAUGCGUAGAGAUCGGGAGGAAUACCAGUGGCGAAAGGCGGCCUUCUGGCCUGACACUGACACUGAGUGCGAAAGCGUGGGUAGCAAACAGGAUUAGAUACCCUGGU
RNAcentral lists this ribosomal RNA (751 nucleotides) under Salinicola sp. BGMRC02005. Its description in RNAcentral is "bacterial SSU rRNA". It matches the Rfam family "Bacterial small subunit ribosomal RNA", at positions 48 to 791 of the family's 1533-position model. Lineage: Bacteria; Pseudomonadati; Pseudomonadota; Gammaproteobacteria; Oceanospirillales; Halomonadaceae. The record is from RNAcentral.